RNAcentral lists this long non-coding RNA (1429 nucleotides) under Solanum tuberosum (potato). RNAcentral describes it as "long non-coding RNA (STUB_LNC003862)". The record is from RNAcentral. Lineage: Eukaryota; Viridiplantae; Streptophyta; Magnoliopsida; Solanales; Solanaceae.
CAACAUACUUGCAGUAGAUGGCACAUUGAUGAUUGACUCGGCUACCAAGGUACAUAACACAAUUGCAACUAAUAUAGUUUCAAAACGUGAUUACUUUCGAGCCAAGCUUAUGAUUUUGUAUGUCAGAAGUUUGUGGGGUAAACACAUGUUUACAAGAAUGGCAUGGUCAAAGCUUCGCAUCAAAGCUCAAUUAAGAUAUUAGGACUGGAAUGGUUUAAGAAGUGUAGGAUUUGAAGCAUGUUUGAGUAUGUCGAUUUGUCUGAAGACUAAAGUUUUAAACAUCAAGCGUAGAUGGGUAGAGUACUUCAGUUUUGAAAUGUAACAUGCUAUACCUCGGGACAAUUAUGCCUUAUGGUAUCACAUAUGAGUAGACUGGUCAUAUUGUAUUUUUCAUGCUGUAAAGAAAUAUGUUUCAUCAGAAAGAAGCAGUCGAAAAAAUAAAAAGUUUCUUAGAAGAUGGAUGAGUCCAUGGAAUUUUCUGUCUGCAGUCUCUCAUAAAGCUUGGCAAUUCUGCGGUGUGGACUAAGUCUCUUAUAGAUGAACUGCAGGUUCCCAUACUGUUUUAUAAGAUAUAUCCUUCUCCUCGUUAGUGUUUUUGUGAAUUUCUUCUUCAGUGAAGUGAACAUAUUUGUCAUCAUUACUUUAUGAUGAUGACUAUUUCUGCUUACACUUUUAGAUGGGCUGCAUUUCAACACAUCACAAACACUACUGUGGGAAUAUAUGUAUUCAUUAUAUUAUAAUACUGAUUCAGCUAAUCCCUUUCACCCACCUAAUCCCUUUCAAAUUGAUGAACAUCCUCCAAAACUGGUUUGUCCAUUUGCAGUGCAGAAGAAGAUGGUUGAUUGUCUCAGCUUGUUACCCACAUAGAAAACACCUAGAUGCUAGUUGGUAUCCCCUUUUGUUGAGAUUUUCAUGAGUUACACUGCUUCUUUAGCCAAAAGCCAGAUGAAACAGUUAACUUUGAAGGGAAUUUUUAGUUUCCAUAUCAUCUUCCAAGGGCAAUCUCUUUCCUUCACCACUUCUACAUUUAACUCCCUGUAUGCAGGCAUCCAACGCAUUUCAGCCAGUCAUUCUUUUCAUAUGAUGUAUCCAAGCAAAGAAUAUGCAUUAUGUGUAUGUAUGUGCAGGAGUCAUGAGGGGCAGUGUUGUAUGACAGUGCAGCAACGAAUUGCACAGGACACAAUGUGUUUGAAGGCGGAAGUUGAUGAAAUAGAGCAUGCUUGCUGCUUCUCAGCAUUUAUAUUGCUUACAGUGUGUGAACUAUAAGCAAUUUGCAUGUAAGAAGGCAGGCCAUGAUCCUAUUUCAAGGUUACUUUUCAUCUGUGCCAUUCGAAGGUGAUUACCUCUUCGCUUUAUUUACUUGCCUGAAACUCAUAUUAUUGAUUAGAGACUUAGAAGUGUCGACAUAAAUUUCAAAAAAUUAAUCGAG